This 561-nucleotide ribosomal RNA is filed under the name uncultured earthworm cast bacterium. RNAcentral's name for it is "bacterial SSU rRNA". It matches the Rfam family "Bacterial small subunit ribosomal RNA", at positions 48 to 653 of the family's 1533-position model. The record is from RNAcentral.
CUAACACAUGCAAGUCGAGCGGGCAUCGCAAGAUGUCAGCGGCAGACGGGAGAGUAACACGUGGGAACGUACCCUUCAGUUCGGAAUAACCCAGGGAAACUUGGACUAAUACCGAAUACGUCCGUAAGGAGAAAGAUUUAUCGCUGAAGGAUCGGCCCGCGUCCGAUUAGCUAGUUGGUGGGGUAAUGGCCCACCAAGGCGACGAUCGGUAGCUGGUCUGAGAGGAUGAUCAGCCUCACUGGGACUGAGACACGGCCCAGACUCCUACGGGAGGCAGCAGUGGGGAAUAUUGGACAAUGGGCGCAAGCCUGAUCCAGCCAUGCCGCGUGGGUGAUGAAGGCCCUAGGGUUGUAAAGCCCUUUCGGCGGGGAAGAUAAUGACGGUACCCGCAGAAGAAGCCCCGGCUAACUUCGUGCCAGCAGCCGCGGUAAUACGAAGGGGGCUAGCGUUGCUCGGAAUCACUGGGCGUAAAGCGCACGUAGGCGGAUUGUUAAGUCAGGGGUGAAAUCCUGGAGCUCAACUCCAGAACUGCCUUUGAUACUGGCAAUCUCGAGUUCGGGA